CCCAUUUAAGAAUGAAAGAUGGCCCUUCAAGUUGUUUGUUUACAGAAUUAUGUCAAUAGAACAUUGAUAUCUGCCAUUAAGCGUCAUUAGAAGAAAAAAUCAUUGUGUGGAAAUAUGUAUUUCAAGUGUAUGAAAAAAUCAGGAAACUUAUAUAGAAAGCGUGCUAAAAUUAUGCGUGAGCUGUUUGAGAACGGAAACGACUGCGAAAUAAUCGAUAAUACAGAAUCAACAAACUUUGAUCAUGCGGUUGAACAAAUACCCGACAGUUCCAGUUCAGAAGAUGAUGAGUGUGGGAUCCUGAGUAUGAAUGUUGUGGUGUGAGUGCGGAACGGCAAUGGAUGAGAGGCCGCCAGUCUUAGUUAAAUGCUGAAUAAAGGAGGCUGUGUUGCGUGAACUGGUAAA
This is a long non-coding RNA of Anopheles stephensi (Asian malaria mosquito), 402 nucleotides long. RefSeq lists it as uncharacterized. The transcript has 2 exons. The record is from RefSeq and is a predicted model, not a curated record. Lineage: Eukaryota; Metazoa; Arthropoda; Insecta; Diptera; Culicidae.